RNAcentral lists this long non-coding RNA (404 nucleotides) under Olea europaea subsp. europaea. The record is from RNAcentral. Lineage: Eukaryota; Viridiplantae; Streptophyta; Magnoliopsida; Lamiales; Oleaceae.
CUUGACCAUCAAAACUACAAAAGCAUAUAAUCACCACAAAACACAAACACAAGCACAUAUGUUUACAGGAUAAAAUUUAUACGUCCAUAUAUAGACAAUGUAUUGGGUUUAUGUUUGUGGUGAAGAAGAAAGAGAAUUGGGUCGACAACAAGUGGGAGGGUCGUGUCCUCAUUGCAAAGCGAAGGUAGACAUGGUAGAUUUCGAGUGCAAAAGGAAGUUCUGCUUUCUUCCCCUUUGCCUUUUAGUCAAGAGGAGAUAUAUCUGUACUCACUGCUCCCGCCACUUGGUCUUGUACUCCUAGUCCAUAUAAAAUGUUUGGUAUGUGGUACUGUAUUAAGCUCGACUCAACUGUAUAAAAAGAAUUAUUAUUUAUUAUUAUUAUUAUUAUUAUUAUUAUUUUUUGG